GGGGAGGGGGGGGGGUUAUGCUGGAUAUAAAAGGAAUUUAACUUGCCUUUAGAGGUGAAAGCAUUUACUUGAUCUAAUGAUACCCGGAUUAGGCAUACUACUUUAGUGGACAUGUAGGAAACUCGCUGUCAUUCAUUCUAUAUGCAUUCGUACAUAUUCACGUCGGCCUAAUAGGCAAUUGAAAGCCAGUCUUCUGUCAACAUAUAUCUAAAUCCUUCAGAUUCCAAUUCCUUUGCUACAAACCAAACGUCGCCUCGGUUUAUUUGAAGGAUUCGGAAUUUAAAAGGAAAAAAAAAGAAGAGGUUUCACACACCCAAUAAGUGCUUAUUGUCGAAAAAGGGUAUCUUACACAUGUGAGCACUCAUAAUUGAUGUUACUAAUGGCUGCUCUUUUGCUAGUCUAACAGUAACACUAGAAACGUCCAACGUUGGAUCUCUAGGUCUCUUUUGCUGAUUCUAAUCAACAUAGUAAUCUGGCCUUAAGUUAUCUUCUAAUAUUAUUUUGUCUAGCUUGUUUCUUUAAUCAAGGAUCAUACCAUUCAUCAAUCAUGUAUGUUGUUUUGAUUCUCGGAAGCUGCUGAUUACGUCAAAUUUGACUUUCAUUUGUUUGUGUCGUUGAAUAAAUACCAAUCUUGUUAUUAGAAAAUUUUGGGAUUCGUGCGUUGAUGCACCUUUUGAUUUUGAUUUUGAUUGCAGAGAAUUGGAGUAAACUUGAUUUUGAUUUAGAUUUGGGGGAAAUAAGCGUUAAAUUCAUGACUUGGUGGAUUUUGCAUAAGCUCCCUGUGUUAUUAAAAAUUAAUUUGGACUUCACAAAUAAAUGCCAAUCCAUAAGGAACUUUAUAUUGGCUCUUUUGUUGGACUGUUGAAUAGUUUCACUUUUGGAAAGUCAUUGUGGGUUAAACAUGUUCGAUCUCUCAAUGUUGGAUAUGUAAUUCAUGUCGUCUCUAAUUAUUGCAAGUCUGCUUUGCCUUGAUUGCACAAAGGCUCAUCUAAUUCUUAAAAUUAAUAUUUGGGUCUUCGAGUGAAAAUUUGAUGGCUUGUAAAAUUUUCAAGUAUAGCAUGAGAUUUAAGGAAUUUUUGAUUGCAAGAAGAGAACUCCUCAUAGUGAAAUUUUCUUUGUCAUUUUACUCUUUUUUGAGUCAUAUACUCUCGUUUGUAAUGGAAGCCUCCAAUUGUUUCUUUGUCCAUGAUGGUGUAUCUUUCUUCAAAGCCUCAUUUACGUUGUUCCGAAACUGGGCUACCGGAUUUGUAGGUUUGCAGCUUUGUGACAGAGUCAUUCACUUUCGCCUACUUUGGAAUAAUACCAUCUGUGCCCAAACACAUUUUUAACUGAAACUAUCCAUUUUAAACCCAUAAGCCAAAAUAUUGUUUUGUCUUCUCAAUUGGUCAAAUACUUUUAUUUGACAAACUGAAAAAAGAAAGCAACACUUUAACACCAAUUAAGAGAUGGUCAUAUUUUGAAGAUAAACUUUUAAAGUUUGUGUCAGUGUGACCAACCAUGAUUAGUGCUGAACUGUUGGUUUAUAUGUUUAGUUUAGAAAAGCCACGCUUUGACUACGGGUUUAAGGGGACAGUUCGGAUAAAUAUGUGUUUUGGUAUAAAUGGUAGUAUUUUCAGAGUGAGCGAAAGUGUUUGACCAAAUCUAGAAAAUUAUAUACAAAUGUGGCAGCCCGAAUUUGAAUAAGUUCCAAUGAGGAUUUGAAAAAAUAUCCACCAAAAUGGACAAAGAAGCAAUUGGAGGUUUCAUACAAGAGCAAUUCAUCUGGCCUAAUAAGAUGAAGAUUCAGUUUCCGGUGUUUUCUUCUUGCAUGUUGUAGCUAUUUCUUUGGUUAAACAAAAAUGAGGGUAUGUGAAUUAAAGCAUUUUAACGUGUUUCAUCAAAAGAUGGGCAAAAAGACCGAGACCGGUCCCGACCGUCGGUUCUAAAUUAGUAAUAAAUCUUAGAAUUCAUUAAAUCUCAUGUCAUAUUUUAAAAUUUUAUAAGCGAUCAAUUGCCAACUAGACCCAAAUAUAAAAAAAAUCUAUCAACAAAAAUACGAGAGACUUAUGAUAUGAGAGACAACAUAAAUUACACAUGCAAGAUUGAGAGAAUGAGCAUGUUUAACCCACAAUGACUUCACUAAAGUGAAUUUAAUUUAACAGUCCAACAAGGGAGACAAAAUAAAGAUUUUUAUGGAGUGUCAUUUAUUUGUCAAGUCCAUGUUCUUUUUUAAAAAUGAAAAUAGAAAACCUUUGCAGUUCCAAUUUUAACACCCGAAUAUGAGACAAAGUUUAUUAAAUUUCUGCUAAUUUUUGUUUUGCAAGACUACACAGGAACAUCUUCGUCCCAUAGGGGUAGUGGUAACAUAUGCAUACAUUCUACCCUCCCCAUCCCCUACUUCUGUGUGGCUUUGGUUUUUUUAAUGGUUGUUGAUUUUGUACGUGCUUUAACAUAAGGUAGCAGAGGGUGUUCGAUUUGGGACCCACCCCACAUAUUAGGGAAUAGGCGCCGUCUCUUGGUUAGAGGAAAUCGAGAGGAGAGAAUCGUAUCUAUUGGUUCCUGGUGACACUAAAACACCUGCUUGCGUGAUGAAUAUCAAGAUUAUGCUAAGCAAUCUAGUUCGAUAUGUAGGGAUUGCAUUUGUUCUUCCACUCCCUUCAGAAUGGUUUAUGCAUUGUAUGUUCUACACUAUAUACUUAUAUUAUUCUCUUUCCUUCCAUAACUAAUAAUGUCUCUUGUUCCAUAAUGAUGUAUUAUAAAUCUUGGAGUAGAUUCAUUUCUUGUUUAAAAGGAAGUUACUGCAAAUUUAAUAAUGAAUGAAUUAUAGAAAGGAUAAAAUUCAAUAGGCUCAGUUAAUCAUUUUUCAAAAAACAUAAAAAUAUUAAGAAUUCAAGCUUUAUUUAAGGAACAUAAUUAAUAAAAGUGAAGACUUUGAUUGCUUCUACAUUGAUAAGGGAGCACAAAAUUACAACAACAUACAUGAGGGUUUUCCAUUUCAUCCAAUGAUUUACUUUAUCCAUCUCUUGUUUAAUGGUGUUCGUUCGUCUUUAAAAUGAUUUUGUGUUGGCUAUGCUAUUGUAAAUCUUUUAUUCAACAGAAGUUAUUUUUUGAUUACUCUUAGCCUUAUUUAGCAUCAUGGUUUUAAUAGUAUGUAAUUGUUGAGAUGAAAUAAUAACAAUCCUCUUUUAUUAGCACCAAUAAAAAUUCAUUUUACAAUCAUGCACAAUUCAUGAAAAGUUAGAAAUACAGUUCAGCCUAUGCUUGGGGUUGAUAAAGUAGCUUCUAUGUUGGGGUUCAACCAAAAGAAUGUUCAAAAAUAUUGUGAGGAACAAAGAAGCACACAUAGACAACGUUCGGGGUGUUUUUUGAAAGGCAACAUAUUUCAUGAAGGAAAAAAACACCGAGAGAAACAGGACCAAACUGGAUUAGCUAAGAAGUAGAAAGAAACACCAAAGAAGGGUUACCUCCAACAUAUAGGCAACAAGUCGGGAUUUACUUGGAUAGACUUAAAAAUCUACUUCCAUCCAUCCAACUGCCUGUUAUUUCCCUCUGUUUGACAAAAUACAUUUUUGGAUAGACUCAAAAAUCUACAUUUCUUGCUUUUUGUGAUUCUUAUAGUUGGACAGAGAUAGAUGGCAUCGUACGAGCAAGAAGGAAGUCCAGUAAGCAAUAUCAUUGCCUCCAUUGCCAAUUAACCCUUGCUUCUGGAGACAGACAACUAGCUGAAUUCAAAUGGUCCAGAAAUGUCGAGUAUAAGAGCUGAACCAAUAUGGAUGCCAUCUUGUUUGGUACCAUGAUCACGAGGCUUGUUUCUCAACCGUAGAGAUGAUGGGAAAAAGGUUUUUGAAGACCUGCAACAGCCUCAUUUUAAAGCAUCUUCAUGUGGCAGCAUUCUUUUAUGAAUUUAGAUAAAGCUAUAAAAUCCCUAGAGGAAGAAGAGGCAGCUAUUGUGGAAAACAUCAAAAAAGGUCGAACACAUGUCACACAUGUAGGGAAUGCGGGAGCAGGGACUUCACGCCAAAGGCGCUAUGCUAAUGUUUCUCACCACAAUGGUAUGUUGUUCCGUAUGGUUCAAAAGGGUCAAUAAAUUUUCAUUUUAGGAACAUACUUGUAGAAGACAUGUUUAAGAGUAUUUUGAAAACCAUCUAUUUUAGAGAAGUACUUUCAAAGGGCGUGCGGAAAAAUAGACCAUUUACUACAAAAAACUGGCUUUAUAGGACGUCUAAAUUGUAAGUAUUCUUAUAAAAUACUUUAUAGGACCAGACCAACAAGUGUUAUAUCUAAAAGUGUUACAAUAGGUUUAUUGGACGUUUUUAGAUGUUUCAACAAGUUUUUUCAACAAACAUCCUAUCUAAAAGUGUGGUAUUGAUUAUUUUUAAUUAAUCUUUUGGAUUCCUAAUUAAAUACUUCAUUGACAUUUAAUACGUUUGACGAAAAGGUCAAAUUGAAACGGAAAAGAAGGAAAGUAAUGGAUGAAAUUGUCGUAUAUUUAUUUCUUUACCAUUAUAUAUCAAUUGAGGUAAUUAUUUUUUGUCUAUUUUACUUUUAUUACAUUUUA
This is a long non-coding RNA of Cynara cardunculus var. scolymus (artichoke), 4537 nucleotides long. RefSeq lists it as uncharacterized. The transcript is spliced from 4 exons. The record is from RefSeq and is a predicted model, not a curated record. NCBI's taxonomy places the organism in Eukaryota, Viridiplantae, Streptophyta, Magnoliopsida, Asterales, Asteraceae.